Biomphalaria pfeifferi is the source of this 967-nucleotide non-coding RNA. Lineage: Eukaryota; Metazoa; Mollusca; Gastropoda; Planorbidae. The record is from the annotation of a GenBank genome assembly.
AACUGCUCAGCCACCGCACCUCCUUUACCUUACUUACACAAACAUAAGAAUUUCUUUGAAUGUUCAUUAUACCAAAUGGUAAAUUUAAAAAAGAUGAUCUGUCAUAAUUAUAAGGCAUUUUGUCUUCGAUUGUCAAAAUCAAGGAUGAGUUCAGUAUUUCACAUGACCAUGCAGACCCAGUUGCGAUGUGAUGCAGACAAAGCCGUUGUCCAGCAUGGGUCUGUUUUAUUUUUGUUUGCGCCAUAACAAGCAAGUAAUAACCACUUGUUUUUUUCUUAAUGACUGAUUUGAUUUAAAUAUAACUGCUUUUAAUUUUCUUUACUGUCCAGUGCUCAUGUGGUAUCCUUCAUAAUGUUUCCUUUAAGAGAGAUAAAAAGAGUUUAGAAAUAAAAACAUCAACUGCUGAGUCAGGAUUUUGUGUUUUUACCAUCACAAAGGAGAUACAAGACUCAGUUUAGAAAGACAGACACAAAAACUCUUUGUUCAUUAGGCAAUCAAAUCAUUAAAUACAAUUCAACUAGCUGAUAUAAACAUUUCACAUGUAACUUUGGAGUGAAUCUGGUGUGAAUGUAUAUUUUGUUUUUUAAAAUUAUAAUGCUGUUUUUUUGUGUGUGUGCACAAAUAGUUAGACAAAUUUACUCAUGGGUAAUAGAGAUUAUUUUUAUAGUCAACAUUGCAUCUUCAGAGCUAGUUUCUAGUUUAUGACUAAAUGAGUGAAAUAUUUUAACAAGUUUAGGGUUAGCAUAAUAAUUUAUUUAAUUUUUUUUAUUUACAGAAUAAUAUAUUUAGUUGAUUCUGUUGUUUUAUUAGUGUGUGUGUGUUUGUGCUCCAACAGUCUUUAAGAGUGACAGUGUUUUCUGUUAUUGAUUUCAAGUGUAUUUGGUCUGGGUACAAUGCUGUUGAUUUCAAUGUGUUAUUUCUGUUGUAUUUGGUCUGGGUACAAUGCUGUUGAUUUCAAUGUGUUAUU